Molecule: ribosomal RNA, 404 nt
Filed under: uncultured Bacillota bacterium
Lineage: Bacteria; Bacillati; Bacillota
Description: bacterial SSU rRNA
Rfam family: Bacterial small subunit ribosomal RNA
Source: RNAcentral
GGGGAAUAUUGGGCAAUGGGCGAAAGCCUGACCCAGCAACGCCGCGUGAAGGAAGAAGGUUUUCGGAUUGUAAACUUCUGUCCUCAGGGAAGAAGGAAGUGACGGUACCUGAGGAGGAAGCCCCGGCUAACUACGUGCCAGCAGCCGCGGUAAUACGUAGGGGGCGAGCGUUGUCCGGAAUGACUGGGCGUAAAGGGCGCGUAGACGGUUUUUUAAGUCUGGAGUGAAAGUCCUGCUUUCAAGGUGGGAAUUGCUUUGGAGACUGGAAGGCUUGAGUGCGGAAGAGGUAAGUGGAAUUCCCAGUGUAGCGGUGAAAUGCGUAGAGAUUGGGAAGAACACCAGUGGCGAAGGCGACUUUCUGGACUACAACUGACGCUGAGGCACGAAAGCGUGGGGAGCAAACA